Molecule: microRNA, 22 nt
Filed under: Hyalella azteca
Lineage: Eukaryota; Metazoa; Arthropoda; Malacostraca; Amphipoda; Hyalellidae
Description: miR-4703
Source: RNAcentral
UAUGUAUUGUGUAUCGUGUAUU